This 254-nucleotide ribosomal RNA is filed under the name uncultured bacterium. RNAcentral describes it as "partial 16S ribosomal RNA". It matches the Rfam family "Bacterial small subunit ribosomal RNA", at positions 524 to 776 of the family's 1533-position model. The record is from RNAcentral.
UACGGGGGGAGCAAGCGUUGUUCGGAUUUACUGGGCGUAAAGGGCGCGUAGGCGGCCAGCACAAGUCAGUUGUGAAAUCUCCGAGCUUAACUCGGAACGGUCAACUGAUACUGUGCGGCUAGAGUGCGGAAGGGGCAACUGGAAUUCUUGGUGUAGCGGUGAAAUGCGUAGAUAUCAAGAGGAACACCUGAGGUGAAGACGGGUUGCUGGGCUGACACUGACGCUGAGGCGCGAAAGCCAGGGGAGCAAACGGG